This is a long non-coding RNA of Strigops habroptila (Kakapo), 4038 nucleotides long. RefSeq lists it as uncharacterized. NCBI's taxonomy places the organism in Eukaryota, Metazoa, Chordata, Aves, Psittaciformes, Psittacidae. The record is from RefSeq and is a predicted model, not a curated record. The transcript is spliced from 3 exons.
CUUAGCCCUCAGGAAAAACAGAUUUCCCAACUCAGAAAAAGACUAGUCUGUGCAUGCACACCUUUUUUGUGGGGGGGAGGAGUUUCCAACUUAAAGGGAUAAAAUGCAUUUAUUGCUCUUUACGCUGCAUGCUGAGGUGUUUUGGUGGUUUAUUUAUACUACUAUCAUUUUGUUUCUUAUUACUAGCUUUAUGGUUUGUUUUCAUCAAACUACAAAAUUCCCCAUUGAAUUUUGUCAGUUUUGCAUAACAAAUCACUCCUCACAUUCUCUUUGCACAUUGCUUUUCCAUUUUGCUAGCUUCUGUGCAAAUUCCUCCUCAGACCCACAAAUAAGUAGAUGGUCAGUAACAUUUUGCCAUGAACUCUAUUUCAUUAUCUGGAGUGUCCAAAACAUUAUUAUUUUAAAAGCAUGAAUGUCAAUAUAUCUGUAAAAGGCAUUUACCAAGCAGCUCCAGUGCUGGUAGGAAAGAGCGAGCUCAUUUUGAAAGUGCUUCUGAGAACCAUGCAGAGAAUGGGAUAAUUCUGUACUUCCAUGCUAGUACAGCAAUGCAAUCAGAGUAGUAGAGAAGAUUUGCUGUUGCACCCAGGACUAAUUUUCCACACUUUCUUCUAGUGUGUCUUUUCAAGAUAGAACCCAAUUGAAAAGCCCUUGGGUAGCUAACCAAAGAUACUCAACUAAACCUGGAGAGAUGUCCAGUGAAUCAAAUUUUAAAACAAAUUGUUUUUGAAGCAAUAACAUUACAGCGAAAUUUCUUUGCAGCCCUGUUAGACUGCUAUGAGUGGUUAUAGGGUAGUAACAUGCAGUCUUAAUUAGAUAUCUCAUGUGUAAAUUAUUUGCAGUAAAAAUGGAAGUAUGCGAGACUUGCUAGGAUCCAGGCUUAUUCCCAGAUUUGAAAUUCAAACAUUGCGUAUUGAACCUUUUGAUAAAAAUCAUAUCUUGUUUGCUGAAAUUUAUCCUUUUAAAUGCAUGAACUCCUACCAUUAAAUUGAGCUGCACUAUAGCAUUGUGGACACAAGGCUUUUUGAAAGAAACUGGUGGAAGCUUAUGCCCAGCUUAUGCCCAGCCUCUCUUUGGCAUACAGGAACCGUUCACACCUGAAAUUCAAAGGCAAGCCCCUGAGAUGUGAACCGGCAGAAAGGGAAGCAAAUAUUUGCAUAUAUAUGCAAGAGGUGGUUUAUAUGAUCCCACUUUUCUUCUCUUUUCUGGCUGUGGGAUGAUCUGAAGCAAGAUUUUGCUUGUCGGACAUGUUUUUGGGCAAGGAGCCGUUUCCCUUAGCGUUUCACAAGCUCUGGUGGCAGAGAGGUGGUACAUAAAGUCUCGGUGAUUUAGUUUGGUGACAGCCACAAAGAAUCCUGUGAUAUCACAAAGUUAUAUAAUAAAGUGCUUUUACUAUGUGCCUUCUGACUAUCUAUCUUGGUUGUCUUCCGCUUACUUGUUUGUCUCACAUGGACUACUUCUGAAAACCUAUUAACUACUCAGAAAUGUGAAAACUCAAAACUGUUAUAGAAGUGUUUCCUAAAGAAUAUUACUUGAUGCAAAAGAAGCAAAAUUCCUGUCUCGAUAGGUCAUUUUCAGCAACAUGAGUUAGACCGGCAAAAAAAUAAAUCGCAUCAGCUCUUCCUGGAAAGUGUGCACUGCCUUUCAGUAUUUGAAAAAUAAAUGGGAGAAAGACAAAAGAAAAUGAAGCUAAAAUGUGUGAGGAAAAAGCAGAAUUGUAAUAGGAGACAUCAAAUUGUACAGAAGUCUCUGUGACUCUAGAAACCUGUAUGAAUUAUUGCUUUGUACUAAAAGCAUUUUUUUUAACAUCUCUUUGUGAUUAAAUUAUAUUAUGGGUAAAAAUAUUCGGUUUAAUUUCUAUUGAGGUAUACUACAGUAUAUGAAAACAUGUCUACUGUUCUUCUGUGAAAUAGCAUAUCUGUAUUUGGAUAUAACAGUUGAUUGGUGACAUUUCAAAUAAAAUGAGGAACCUUUUUGGCUUUUCUGUCUCUCUCCAAAGAAAAAAAAGGGACUUAAAUGAAGAAAACAGUAAGUAUUUUAUUUUUUUACCUUUACAGGUGGAUGAAGAGUCAUGGGUAUUAAAGGAGAUAUUAAUCAGGCUGUUGUGAAAGAUCUGGUCAAAGGGGACAAGUGUCGUCCUGAGCAUGUUCCUCUCUGGGACAGGAAACUGAUGGAGCAAAGCCCUGAGAACAUGCAGUGACACUUCAUAUUCAGUCCACAGCCCUAUAAAGAGGUGAAAAACGAGCCUUGUCCAAAGCUCUUGCCUCAGCACCCAGUGGCAAAAAUAAAACGUUAGCCUGGGACCAGGUCUCUUUGAAGCAGAUUUUUUUCUUUUUCUGUUUAUUUUUUUUUUUUAAACUCUGCAACAGGCCUCUGGUGGUUACAGGUAUUGAUCGUCAGAAAGUAAUCUGUUCAGGUUUGGGGGCAUGCCAGACCGAAUCCUCGAGUACAUUCCUUCCUCUCCAAGGACAUGUUGAGCUUUUUAUACUGUCCACACUGGCUCACUUGUCAGCUGUCUAGCUUCUUUGUCUUUACCGAUUUCCCUGUUUGUGGGAAGCAUAUAAUUAAAUCUCCCUUUAAAAAAAUUUUGUACAUUGCUACUCUAGAAUUUUCUGCCAGCACUGAAGGUUUUUUACCCCAUGUUUUUAACCCUCAUUUUUCUUCUAUAAUCAUUAUUUGAUUCCCUCUGGCUGCCUGCUACUUAUUUGUAGUAGUACCAUUCAUCCAUUGAGACUUUUCCAUCUGUCACACAGCUUUGCUUUCUCUCCUCAGAAGCUUUCUUUUCCUACUGUGCCAUGCUUGAUUUUUUGGGUUUAGUUGCAUGUUUGUAUGCUCUUUUCAGUAUUUUAAAAAAUGCUUCAGUAUUCAGAACAAAUACAAGAGGAGGAAAAAAACCCUCAGAACAGCAACACAGCACAGGAGCAGCUCAAACCCAUAUUGUGCACAGAGACAGGAUUUGGAGACUGAGAUUCCCAGUGAAUUAAGGAAUCAACAAAUAUAGCCAGUGCCUUAAUGGUAGCCAGACUCUGUUCUCUCUGAAUUGUUGUUGUUGCCUUCAAAAUCUUUCCAGUUUUGUGUUAGAUAAAUAGAGGAUGCUAGGAAAUGUUGCAUACCUUUGCUGUACUGACUCUCUUUGCUGUAUUAUAAAGAAUAUGCAAAAAACCAAACAUACUGAGAUACUGUGGAAUGCAAGAUGGGCAAAAGUCAGCAGCACAAUUCUUCAGAAGGAUCGGGUUUGUUCUGUGUGUCUUCAACUCAUAUAUUUAAUUGUGAUUGUGGUCUAAAUGGGAAGUUCAUGUUUUAGUGGGAAGUAUGUCAAAUGUAGUUUUUGAUGUGAGCAAAAUGAGAUUUUACCUUGCAAUUGACUCAGAUCUCCAAUGCUUUGUCUUGGAGAUUUCACACAGUUACAUACUUUCAAAAAUAUAUUUUGAGUCUCUCUUUAUUAAUUUUCUUGUCUUUUCCUCUAACACUUCUCAUUGUAUCUUCUCAUGAUCUUGUUUCAAAAGUUCCUGCAAGUUUACUGUGAAUCUUAGGAUUAGUAAAAAAGUUUGUGAUGUGUUCUAGAAAAUCCUUUUUCAGUAGAAAUACCUUCAUUCCUUAUAAAAUUAUUUCUCUGGCUAUAUGGGAAAUACUGAUAGUCUACAAGCAAAUAGAAAAGCUGUGCGUGUGUCCUGACUUGAAUGGCAAUCCCCAGGCAGUUCUCUUUUCUACCAGCUACUUGGUUGCACUGUUCUGACAAUGAAGCGAAUGAAGCGUGGGGAAAAAAAAUCAGAAGUUUCCAUUUACACUUGUAUUGGCAGAUGUCUAAAAAUGUAGAUAUUUUACAAAAAUCCUAUUUGUAAAGUCUUGUUCUUGUGGUAGCAAGUGUAAUUCAGACCCAGUUCUUAGAUUACCUGAACUUUAUGUUGUUUUGGAAAGGAAUGGUUCCUUUUCUGAGAUAAUUUAUGGGAAAGAAAAUGGAGAAGAAGGGGGAAGGGACAGGAAUGGGAGAGAGAGAAACAGUUCCUUCGAUCCAUCCUGACCAUUCAAAACGUUUCUAUG